GUCACUUUGCCGGAGUGGUUAACGGGAUCGCCUGCUAUACUCUUCGGGUUUUGCUUAGCGGUUGGUCUUUGACCGCGUGUGUUCGAAUCGCACAGGUGACG
This 101-nucleotide transfer RNA is filed under the name Ephemerocybe angulata. Its description in RNAcentral is "Coprinellus angulatus tRNA-Ser". It matches the Rfam family "tRNA". From Rfam's summary of the family: Transfer RNA (tRNA) molecules are approximately 80 nucleotides in length. Their secondary structure includes four short double-helical elements and three loops (D, anti-codon, and T loops). The record is from RNAcentral. Lineage: Eukaryota; Fungi; Basidiomycota; Agaricomycetes; Agaricales; Psathyrellaceae.